GUGGCGUAACGGAUAACGCGCCUGACUAUGGAUCAGGAGAUUCCAGGUUCGAAUCCUGGAAACU
This 64-nucleotide transfer RNA is filed under the name Trichonephila inaurata madagascariensis. RNAcentral's name for it is "tRNA-His". It matches the Rfam family "tRNA", at positions 8 to 63 of the family's 71-position model. From Rfam's summary of the family: Transfer RNA (tRNA) molecules are approximately 80 nucleotides in length. Their secondary structure includes four short double-helical elements and three loops (D, anti-codon, and T loops). The record is from RNAcentral. Lineage: Eukaryota; Metazoa; Arthropoda; Arachnida; Araneae; Nephilidae.